UUAGAGUUUGAUCCUGGCUCAGAUUGAACGCUGGCGGCAUGCCUUACACAUGCAAGUCGAACGGCAGCACGGGGGCAACCCUGGUGGCGAGUGGCGAACGGGUGAGUAACAUAUCGGAACGUGCCCUGGAGUGGGGGAUAACUAGUCGAAAGAUUAGCUAAUACCGCAUACGAUCUACGGAUGAAAGUGGGGGAUCGCAAGACCUCAUGCUCGUGGAGCGGCCGAUAUCUGAUUAGCUAGUUGGUGGGGUAAAGGCCUACCAAGGCAUCGAUCAGUAGCUGGUCUGAGAGGACGACCAGCCACACUGGGACUGAGACACGGCCCAGACUCCUACGGGAGGCAGCAGUGGGGAAUUUUGGACAAUGGGCGCAAGCCUGAUCCAGCAAUGCCGCGUGAGUGAAGAAGGCCUUCGGGUUGUAAAGCUCUUUUGUCAGGGAAGAAACGGUGGAGGUUAAUACCUUCUGCUAAUGACGGUACCUGAAGAAUAAGCACCGGCUAACUACGUGCCAGCAGCCGCGGUAAUACGUAGGGUGCAAGCGUUAAUCGGAAUUACUGGGCGUAAAGCGUGCGCAGGCGGUUGUGCAAGACAGAUGUGAAAUU
This 600-nucleotide ribosomal RNA is filed under the name bacterium enrichment culture clone F61x_D45_T3_E06. Its description in RNAcentral is "bacterial SSU rRNA". It matches the Rfam family "Bacterial small subunit ribosomal RNA", at positions 1 to 601 of the family's 1533-position model. The record is from RNAcentral. RNAcentral also lists the same sequence under 1 other name.